Molecule: ribosomal RNA, 497 nt
Filed under: uncultured bacterium
Lineage: Bacteria
Description: partial 16S ribosomal RNA
Rfam family: Bacterial small subunit ribosomal RNA
Source: RNAcentral
GACGAACGCUGGCGGCGUGCCUAAUACAUGCAAGUUGAGCGCUGAAGGUUGGUACUUGUACCAACUGGAUGAGCAGCGAACGGGUGAGUAACGCGUGGGGAAUCUGCCUUUGAGCGGGGGACAACAUCUGGAAACGAAUGCUAAUACCGCAUAAAAACUUUAAACACAAGUUUUAAGUUUGAAAGAUGCAAUUGCAUCACUCAAAGAUGAUCCCGCGUUGUAUUAGCUAGGUGGUGAGGUAAAGGCUCACCAAGGCGAAGAUACAUAGCCGACCUGAGAGGGUGAUCGGCCACAAUGGGACUGAGACACGGCCCAAAACCCUACGGGAGGCAGCAGUAGGGGAUCUUCGGCAAUGGACGAAAGUCUGACCGAGCAACGCCGCGUGAGGGAAGAAGGUUUUCGGAUCGUAAAACUCUGUUGGUAGAGAAGAACGUUGGUGAGAGUGGAAAGCUCAUAAAGUGACGGUAACUACCCAGAAAGGGACGGCUAACUACGUG